GGGGUUGUAGCUCAGUGGAGGUAGAGCACUUGCCUUGCAUGCAUGAGGUCCUGGGUUCAAUCCUCAGAACCACA
RNAcentral lists this transfer RNA (74 nucleotides) under Marmota marmota marmota (Alpine marmot). It matches the Rfam family "tRNA". Rfam says of the family: Transfer RNA (tRNA) molecules are approximately 80 nucleotides in length. Their secondary structure includes four short double-helical elements and three loops (D, anti-codon, and T loops). Further hydrogen bonds mediate the characteristic L-shaped molecular structure. tRNAs have two regions of fundamental functional importance: the anti-codon, which is responsible for specific mRNA codon recognition, and the 3' end, to which the tRNAs corresponding amino acid is attached (by aminoacyl-tRNA synthetases). tRNAs cope with the degeneracy of the genetic code in two manners: having more than one tRNA (with a specific anti-codon) for a particular amino acid; and 'wobble' base-pairing, i.e. permitting non-standard base-pairing at the 3rd anti-codon position. Lineage: Eukaryota; Metazoa; Chordata; Mammalia; Rodentia; Sciuridae. RNAcentral also lists the same sequence under 1 other name. The record is from Rfam by way of RNAcentral.